Molecule: small nucleolar RNA, 89 nt
Organism: Anoplophora glabripennis (Asian longhorned beetle)
Lineage: Eukaryota; Metazoa; Arthropoda; Insecta; Coleoptera; Cerambycidae
Product: small nucleolar RNA U3
Exons: 1
Source: RefSeq, a predicted model, not a curated record
AAGAUCAUACUUCACAGGAUCAUUUCUGUAGUAGGUCUUCCCAUGCUCUCUACUCAAAUGUAGAGUUGUCGGGAUGCCCGACUCGGGCA